CCCAGACUCCUACGGGAGGCAGCAGUGGGGGAUAUUGCACAAUGGGGGAAACCCUGAUGCAGCGACGCCGCGUGGGUGAAGAAGCGCCUCGGCGCGUAAAGCCCUGUCAGCAGGGAAGAAAAUGACGGUACCUGAAGAAGAAGCCCCGGCUAACUACGUGCCAGCAGCCGCGGUAAUACGUAGGGAGCAAGCGUUGUCCGGAAUUACUGGGUGUAAAGGGAGCGUAGGCGGGGAUGCAAGUUGGGUGUCAAAACUACCGGCCCAACCGAUAGUCGCACUCAAAACUGCAGCUCUUGAGUGAAGUAGAGGCAGGCGGAAUUCCUAGUGUAGCGGUGAAAUGCGUAGAUAUUAGGAGGAACACCAGUGGCGAAGGCGGCCUGCUGGGCUUUUACUGACACUGAUGCACGAAAGCGUGGGGAUCGAACAGGAUUAGAUACCCGGGUA
RNAcentral lists this ribosomal RNA (444 nucleotides) under uncultured bacterium. RNAcentral's name for it is "partial 16S ribosomal RNA". It matches the Rfam family "Bacterial small subunit ribosomal RNA", at positions 330 to 792 of the family's 1533-position model. The record is from RNAcentral.